RNAcentral lists this long non-coding RNA (202 nucleotides) under Brassica napus (rape). Its description in RNAcentral is "long non-coding RNA (BNAP_LNC021821)". The record is from RNAcentral. Lineage: Eukaryota; Viridiplantae; Streptophyta; Magnoliopsida; Brassicales; Brassicaceae.
CGCCCAUUCGUUCAUGCAACUUUCAGGUAGAUUGUGAUUAGUUUUAAUAUUCAUCAUUCUAGCAGCUAACGACAAUUUAGAGAGACCUUCUCUACAACCACUGUAAAGUGGUUGAUUCGCCGCGUUUAACAUUUCGUAAAACUUUUUUGCAUCUAUAUUAGGUUCUUCAUCUUCAUCAUGAGCUACGAAUGCAUCAGCUACC